GAACGAGACGCCAGAUACGUUGGCCCUCAUCUGCUGUUGCUACGGAAUCACGAGCGGGAGAUCAGAAGCAGGAAGUACACAACAUGAUCAGGGAUUAGUCCUGAGAGAUGACGCCUUUCACCUCCGAGCUGCAUGACGGUGUUUCGGAGCUCCUCUUCCUGGCCACCGACGCUCAGGUCGGGCAGCAGCGUCACCGGACAGCUGGGGUCCCCGCUGAUGGCCACCGCGCGGCAGAUGUAGCGCUUCCCGUCGUCCUCCUGGCCUCUGGUCAGUCUGGCGCGCUCCAUGGCACAAAAGCACAACAAUCCGUACAAGAGGUUCCCCUGUGCAACCGGUAAAUCUCUGAGAUCUCCAGAUUUACUCGUGUGUGUGCUUCUGGGUUGGUCGGAACAUUACAGAAUAAUGAACUGAAAGGAGGACAAUCAUUUGCAGGAGGGGGUGUUUUAAUAAAGCAAGCCAUGAACACAGGAUGUGAUGGUAAACAAUUAGCAACGGUCCCCAGCCUGGCUGUGAAAGGUCACUAAUGCCUGGUGAGCGCACUGGAAGGCACGCUGCGCGCCUGGGUCAUGCAGCAUCCUGUGCUAUAAUUCACACAGCAUGGCGUGGAGUUCAUGUGUAAUGAGAGGACUUUAAAGCAGGGUCCCUAAACUUUUUUCUUGUGAGGGCUACAUAACUGUUUUCUUCUCUGAUGUGGGGCCGGGGUCAGUUUGUAACAGAAAAAGUGUAACAAUCACAGCCUGAAUGUAAAGAUUAAUGGUCUUCCAGAAAGCCACACAUGGCCAAAUUUUAAAUAAUUCAUUUAUGUAAUCUUCCAAGAAAAAAAUAAUGCUAAAACAUUUUAAAAACUAGAUAUUUAGCAUUACCUGCAAUAGAUUAAUAG
This is a long non-coding RNA of Oryzias melastigma (Indian medaka), 880 nucleotides long. RefSeq lists it as uncharacterized. Lineage: Eukaryota; Metazoa; Chordata; Actinopteri; Beloniformes; Adrianichthyidae. The record is from RefSeq and is a predicted model, not a curated record. The transcript has 3 exons.